GGGCCGCGGUGACGCAUUUCCGGCCUUUGUAGUUUAUCAUUCUUUGGGCUGCGGUUGUCAAGGAUUCAGAGCCGGUGUGAUCUGCGCCAGGUGGCAUCUCCUCUCACGGAUUCCUCGAACAAAUUCAGCAGACCAUGUUUCAAGCCAUGAUGAUCUCUUCCCUGGAUGAUUAUCAUAGCAUCCCUCUCUGCCUCCACUUAACCCCAAGGUCAUUGACACAGCGGCUAGAGUUAUGCUUUUGUGUUAAAUCCAUUGUUCAACUAGCUAUUACCUGAAGAAUCCAGGUGUGUUCCCACCUGCAAAAAUUUGCACUUGGCAGUUACCUUUGCAUGGAAGAGUCUUUCUCCAGAUAGCCAUGUGACUUGCUCCUCACUUCCUUCAGAUCUCGGGGUUUCCAGAAGAAAAGAUCAAGGGAGAAUUAUCAAGAAUAGAUUAUUUUUCUGAAUAGUUAAACCUUUGAUGGCCAUAACCUUGACCCUUCAGACUGCAGAGAUGCAGGAAGGACUUCUGGCAGUGAAGGUAAAGGAGGAAGAGGAGGAACAUUCCUGUGGGCCAGAAUCAGGCCUGUCAAGAAAUAACCCUCAUACCAGAGAGAUCUUUCGUAGACGCUUCAGGCAGUUCUGCUAUCAGGAGUCCCCUGGGCCCCGGGAGGCUCUUCAAAGACUCCAGGAGCUCUGCCAUCAGUGGCUGAGACCAGAGAUGCACACCAAGGAGCAGAUCCUAGAGCUGCUGGUGCUGGAGCAGUUCCUGACUAUCCUGCCCGAGGAGCUCCAGGCCUGGGUCAGACAGCACCGUCCUGUGAGUGGAGAGGAGGCAGUGACUGUGCUGGAGGAUUUGGAGAGAGAGCUGGAUGAACCAGGAGAGCAGGUCCUGAGCCAUGCUCAUGAACAGGAAGAGUUUGUAAAGGAGAAGGCAACUCCAGGAGCAGCUCAGGAGUCAUCAAAUGACCAAUUCCAAACCUUGGAAGAGCAACUUGGGUAUAAUUUGCGAGAGGUGUGCCCAGUUCAAGAGAUUGAUGGCAAGGCUGGGACUUGGAAUGUGGAGUUAGCCCCAAAGAGGGAGAUUUCUCAGGAAGUGAAAUCUCUUAUACAAGUUCUUGGAAAACAGAAUGGUAAUAUUACUCAGAUUCCUGAGUAUGGAGAUACCUGUGACCGUGAGGGCAGAUUGGAAAAGCAAAGGGUGAGCUCUUCAGUGGAGAGACCCUAUAUCUGUAGUGAAUGUGGAAAAAGCUUCACCCAGAAUUCCAUCCUUAUCGAGCACCAGAGAACACACACAGGUGAGAAGCCUUAUGAAUGUGAUGAGUGUGGGCGGGCCUUCAGCCAGAGGUCAGGCCUAUUCCAGCACCAGAGACUCCACACUGGGGAGAAGCGCUACCAGUGCAGUGUUUGUGGUAAAGCCUUCAGCCAGAAUGCCGGGCUUUUCCAUCACCUCAGAAUUCACACUGGGGAGAAGCCUUACCAGUGCAAUCAGUGCAAUAAGAGUUUUAGUCGACGUUCAGUCCUCAUUAAGCAUCAGAGAAUUCACACUGGAGAGAGACCUUAUGAAUGUGAAGAAUGUGGCAAGAACUUCAUUUACCAUUGCAACCUAAUCCAGCAUCGGAAAGUCCACCCAGUGGCUGAAUCAAGCUAGCUCCUUGGAACAGAUACUGUGUUUUCUGCAAAUUGAAAGUUUGUGGCAACCCUGCAUCAAGCAAGUCUGUCAACACCAUUUUUCCAACAUCAUGUGCACACUUCGUGUUUCUGUGUCACAUUUUGGCCUCCCUAUUCCCUGAGACACACAGUGUUGAAAUGAAACCAGUUAAUAACACUACAGUGGCCUCUCAGUGUUCACAUGAAAGGAAGAGUCUCACAUCUCUCUCUUUAAAUCAAAAGCUAGAAAUGAUUAAGCUUAGUGAGGAAGACAUGUUGAAAGCUGAGAUAGGUUGAAAGCGAGGCCUCUUGUACCAAACAGCCAGUUGUGAAUGCAAAGGAAAAGUUCUUGAAGGAAGUAAAACCACUCCACUGAACACAUGAGUGAUAAGAAAGCAAAACAGCUUUAUUGCUGAUACGGAGAAAGUUUGAGUGAUCUGGAAAGAAGAUCAAACCAGCCACAACAUGCCUUUAAGCCACAGCCUAAUCCACAGCAGGGUCCUAACUUUCUUCAAUUCUGUGACGGCUGAGAGAGAUGAGGAAGCUGCAGAAGAAAAGUUAGAAGCUAGCAGAGGUUGCUUCAUGAGGUUUAAAGAAAGAAGCUGUCUCCACAACAUAACAGUGCAAAGUGAAGCAGCAAAUGUUGGUGUAGACACUGCAGCAAGUUAUUCAGAAAACCUAGCUAAGAUAGUGGAUGAAGGUGGCUAUACUAAACAACAUAUUUUUAAUGUAGAUGAAACACUUUAUAUUGGAAGAAGAUACCAUCUUGGACUUCCAUAACUAGAGAGAAGUCAGUGCCUGGCUUCAAAGGACAGUCUGCCUUUCUUGAUAGGAGCUAAUGGAGCUGGUGACUUGAAGUUGAAGCCAAUGCUCAUUUACUAAGCUGAAAAUCCUAGAGUCCUUAAGGAUCAUGCUGGCUGGGCAUGCUGUAAUCCUAGCACAUUGAGAGGCCAAGUCAGGAGGAUUGCUGAGCCCAGGAGUUUGAGACUAGCCUGGGCAACAUGGAAAAACCCUGUCUCUACAAAAAAAUACAAAAAUUAGCUGGGUGUGGUGGCACACACCUGUGGUCCCAGCUACUAGGGAGGCUAAGGUGGGUAGAUUGCUUGAGCCUGGGAAGCAGAGGUUGCAGUGAGCCAAGAUUGUGCCACUGCACUCCAGCCUGGGUAACAGAGAAAGACCCUGUCUCAAACAAACACACAAACAAACAAAAAGAAUCAUGCUAAAUCUACUCUGUCUGUGCUCUAGAAAUGGAACAACAAAGCCUGGACGAUAGCACAUUUAUUUACAGCAUGGUUUACUGAAUAUUUUAAGCCCACUGUUGAGACCUACUGCUCAGAAGAAAAAAAGAUUCCUUUCGAAAUAUUACUGCUCAUUGACAAUGCACCGAGUCACUGAAGAGCUCUGAGGGAGAUGUGCAAAAAGGUUAAUAUUGUUUUCAUGCCUGCUAACACAGCUAACCAUUCCACAGCCCACAGAUCAAGGAGUAAUUUCAACUUUCAAGUCUUAUUAUUUAAGAAAUACAUUUUGUAAGGGUAUAGCUGCCAUAGAUAGUGAUUCCUCUGAUGGAUCUGAGUGAAGUACAUUGAAAACCUUCUGGAGAGGAUUCACAUUCUAGAUGCAAUUAAGAACAUUUGUGAUUCAUGGGAGGAGAUCAAAAUAUCAACAUGAACAGGAGUUUGGAAGAAGUUGAUUCCCAUCCUCAUGGAUGACUUUCACAGGUUCAAGACUUCAGUGGAGGAAAUAACUGUAGAUAUAGUGGAAAUAGCAAGAGAACUAGAAUUAGAAGUGUAGCCUGAAGAUGUGACAGAAUUGCUGCAUUCUUAUGAUAAAAUUUGAAUGGAUGAGAAGUUGCUUCUUAUGGAUGAGUAAAGAAAGUGGUUUCUUAGGAUGAAAUCUACUCCUGGGGAAGAUGCUGUGAAAUUGUUGAAAUAACAGCAAAGAAUUUAGAAUGUCACAUAAACUUGACUGAUAAAGCAGUGGCAGAGUUUGAGAGGAUUGACUCCAACUUUGAGAGUUCUGUGGGUAAAAUGCUAUUAAACAGCAUCACAUACCACAGAGAAAUAGUUCAUGAAAGGAAGAAUCAACUGAUGCAGCAAACUUCAGUGUUGUCAUGUUUUAAGAAAUUGCCACAGCCACCUGAGCCUUCAGCAGUUAUCACCCUAAUCAGCCAUGAGUCAGCAGACAUUAAGCCAUUCACUCUGAGUAAAUAUGUUCCAGUUUGGAGCUGAUCUCAACAAUGAUGUGUUAUGCCUUACCAUCAGCCUGAAGCAUACGCACUGCUGCAGUGAGCCAGUCUUCUGAGCUGUUUCACCCAGGAAUGCAUUCAGACCAACUGCAGAAGAACGAAAGAAGUGUCAAAUAGUUAAAGAAUCUAGCCCGCACAGAAAGGGAGCUUCUGGUCAGGAGUUCUUCAGAGAGGAUAUGGUGGGUAUUUACUUGGGCCUCAAGGGUCCAGCUUCAGGUUCUUUGCCAUCAGUGGUGGAGACCAGUGAUACACAGCAAGGAACACGUCUUGGAACUACUGAUCCUGACCAUCCUGCCCAAGAACUCCAGGCCUGGGUAUAGGAGCAUCCCAGAGUAUAGGAAAGAGGCUGUCUGUACUGAAGAACUUGGAGAGGAAGCUGAAUGAUCUGAGAGGAAAGGUAAAAUGAAGAAAUGUCUUGUCAGAUAGCAAGUAUUAUCUCCAGAGAGAGAUAAGAGAGUUGAGAUAACUUCUCUAGCGUAGUUAGAGAAAAUGGCUAACAUGUUAUUGGCCAGAGUUAUUUAUUUUUGUUCUAGUUUGGUGAGUUUUUUUUAACUUGUAGGCCCUGUGUAUUUUCCCCUCUUUGUCCGUUUAUCCCUGCCCUUGCAGAUGACAGAAAACUGCUUUCUGCCCUCCCAUUGUGUGUUCCACAGUAAUAAUGGGAUUUUAAGCUCUAACUUUCAGCAAAUGUCACCCUCAUUGAACUCCAUCUAAUUGUGCCCAGUUCCCCACCCUCCUACAGGGGACAAGAAGUGUCCCAACGCAAAUAGUGUAUCUGGCAGCCUCAUAGGACUCACCUGGAGUCCGGCUCCAGCCAGUAAAGGGUCAACUCAGCUCUGAAUGUUGGGAGUUUCACACUGUUAAGGAGAACGCUGAGGAGGAGAUAGCAAAGAAGAAGUUAGGAAAUGUUGGUGUCUUUUUGCAUUUUUCCAAAUGAACCUUGUCACUAAAAUCUCUGCAUACCUUUCAUUUAAUCUCUAUUGCCUAUUCCACUUUUAACCUGUUCCUCUAAGCAUACCACUUUAGCCUAGAUUAUGAUUCUUUUCUUUCUUCACUUCUUUGCCUUAAAAUUGUUUUUUUUAAAAAAUCCUGCUACUCAUGUUACCUUGCAUGGUUCAGUUUCUCCCUUCUAAUACUGCCAACUUCCUUAACCCAGACCUCUUAUCGCAAAGACAGGAGAAUGUUUUUCUAUAUUGAAGCCAAUAGAAAACUACUAAAAGGCUACAUGCAAUUAGUAAAUUUUUAAAUGUACAUUUUUUAAAUGAGUGUAGGAAACAUAAAACUUUAGUAGGUGCAUGCUUACUGGGAAAGCACGCAUGCAUGCUAAAAUGUCAUUAUACAGUACAUAUUGUUUACCACUUGUUUUUUAGUUUAAUAUUACAUUAUGGAUAUCUUUUCAAGUUACAUAUAAUACCUAUAUGUAGCUGACAUACAUUUCACUGCAAGGGUAUUGAAUUAUUUUGUAACUGGCCUUAGAGGGUUUUUACAUUGCUGCUUUUUUCUUUUUUUAAAUACUACCAACUAAAAGCCAUAAAUUCUUUUCUUUUUCUUUUUUUCUUCACUCUGUACUAUGAAAAAAGUUUAAGCAUAUAUAAAAGUACAAUUGUACUACUUCUAAUAAAUCCCCACAAACCUGUCACCCAGCUUCAACAUUAUCAGAUUAUGGCCAAUCUUGUUUCACUUACAACUCUACUCAUAUCCCAUGCUUUUAUAUAUAUAUAAUUUUAAAGCAUAUCUGAGCUAGCAUAGUCUUUCAAAUGUAAAUAUUUCAAUAUUUGCUGUAAAAGAUAUGAAUUUUAAAAAUGUAAACAUAAUACUAUUUUCAUACCUAAACAAUUAACAGUAAUUCCUUAAUAUCAAUUUUCCAGUUUUCUCAAAGAUGUCAUAAACUUUUUUUUGUUCAUUUUGUUUUUUAACUUAUUUGAAUCAAGAUCCAAGGAAGAAAACACAUUGUGAUGGGUUGAUAUGUCUCCUAAGUUUCUUUUAAUAUAUGGGUACCCUCUCCUGUUUUCUCUUCCAACUCACUUGUUAAAGAAAAUGAAGUUGUUUGUCCUGUAGAGUUGCACACAGCAUGGGUUUUGCUGUCUGCAGCAUGUGCUAUAGUCUAAGAUGUUCUGUUGUCCUCUGUAUUUUCUGUAAAUUGUAGUAAUGUACAGGCUUGAUCAAAAUCAAGUUUUAAGUUUUUUUGACCAGAUAAAUUUAAUGAAUUUGGCAAGAUGGUGUGUUCUAUUUGAAGCCUAUUAUUUUCUGUUUGUCUCUUUUUCUGUGGUGUUAGCAGCUAUUGAUCCUCAAUACCUAUAGCCAAUAAUCCAUUAGGGGUCCCAAAAUGGUGACAUUCUAAUUGUAUCCUUCUUUCUUCAUUUAAUAAAGCUGGAAUAGUUAUAUAAAGA
This is an RNA transcript of Pan troglodytes (chimpanzee), 6260 nucleotides long. It is a transcript of the gene named zinc finger and SCAN domain containing 23, with no coding region annotated. The transcript has 9 exons. The record is from RefSeq and is a predicted model, not a curated record. NCBI's taxonomy places the organism in Eukaryota, Metazoa, Chordata, Mammalia, Primates, Hominidae.